UAACACGUGGGUGAUCUACCUUGAGGUGAGGAAUACCGGCGAGAAAUCGCCGACAAGACCGCAUAGCUUCGGCAACGAAGAAAGCUUCGCAAGAGGCGCCCCAAGAUGAGCCUGCGCCCGAUUAGCUAGUUGGUAAGGUCAUGGCUUACCAAGGCGACGAUCGGUAGCUGGUCUGAGAGGAUGAUCAGCCACACUGGGAUUGAGAACGGCCCAG
Molecule: ribosomal RNA, 214 nt
Filed under: uncultured bacterium
Lineage: Bacteria
Description: partial 16S ribosomal RNA
Rfam family: Bacterial small subunit ribosomal RNA
Source: RNAcentral